UAGAAGCCGAUGAAGGACGUUACUAACGACGAUAUGCUUUGGGGAGCUGUAAGUAAGCUUUGAUCCAGAGAUUUCCGAAUGGGGAAACCCAGCAUGAGUUAUGUCAUGUUAUCGAUAUGUGAAUACAUAGCAUAUCAGAAGGCACACCCGGAGAACUGAAACAUCUUAGUACCCGGAGGAAGAGAAAGAAAAUUCGAUUCCCUUAGUAGCGGCGAGCGAAACGGGAAGAGCCCAAACCAACAAGCUUGCUUGUUGGGGUUGUAGGACACUCUAUACGGAGUUACAAAGGACGACAUUAGACGAAUCAUCUGGAAAGAUGAAUCAAAGAAGGUAAUAAUCCUGUAGUCGAAAAUGUUGUCUCUCUUGAGUGGAUCCUGAGUACGACGGAGCACGUGAAAUUCCGUCGGAAUCUGGGAGGACCAUCUCCUAAGGCUAAAUACUCUCUAGUGACCGAUAGUGAACCAGUACCGUGAGGGAAAGGUGAAAAGCACCCCGGAAGGGGAGUGAAAUAGAACCUGAAACCGUGUGCUUACAAGUAGUCAGAGCCCGUUAAUGGGUGAUGGCGUGCCUUUUGUAGAAUGAACCGGCGAGUUACGAUUUGAUGCAAGGUUAAGCAGUAAAUGUGGAGCCGUAGCGAAAGCGAGUCUGAAUAGGGCGUUUAGUAUUUGGUCGUAGACCCGAAACCAGGUGAUCUACCCUUGGUCAGGUUGAAGUUCAGGUAACACUGAAUGGAGGACCGAACCGACUUACGUUGAAAAGUGAGCGGAUGAACUGAGGGUAGCGGAGAAAUUCCAAUCGAACCUGGAGAUAGCUGGUUCUCUCCGAAAUAGCUUUAGGGCUAGCCUCAAGUGAUGAUUAUUGGAGGUAGAGCACUGUUUGGACGAGGGGCCCCUCUCGGGUUACCGAAUUCAGACAAACUCCGAAUGCCAAUUAAUUUAACUUGGGAGUCAGAACAUGGGUGAUAAGGUCCGUGUUCGAAAGGGAAACAGCCCAGACCACCAGCUAAGGUCCCAAAAUAUAUGUUAAGUGGAAAAGGAUGUGGCGUUGCCCAGACAACUAGGAUGUUGGCUUAGAAGCAGCCAUCAUUUAAAGAGUGCGUAAUAGCUCACUAGUCGAGUGACACUGCGCCGAAAAUGUACCGGGGCUAAACAUAUUACCGAAGCUGUGGAUUGUCCUUUGGACAAUGGUAGGAGAGCGUUCUAAGGGCGUUGAAGCAUGAUCGUAAGGACAUGUGGAGCGCUUAGAAGUGAGAAUGCCGGUGUGAGUAGCGAAAGACGGGUGAGAAUCCCGUCCACCGAUUGACUAAGGUUUCCAGAGGAAGGCUCGUCCGCUCUGGGUUAGUCGGGUCCUAAGCUGAGGCCGACAGGCGUAGGCGAUGGAUAACAGGUUGAUAUUCCUGUACCACCUAUAAUCGUUUUAAUCGAUGGGGGGACGCAGUAGGAUAGGCGAAGCGUGCGAUUGGAUUGCACGUCUAAGCAGUAAGGCUGAGUAUUAGGCAAAUCCGGUACUCGUUAAGGCUGAGCUGUGAUGGGGAGAAGACAUUGUGUCUUCGAGUCGUUGAUUUCACACUGCCGAGAAAAGCCUCUAGAUAGAAAAUAGGUGCCCGUACCGCAAACCGACACAGGUAGUCAAGAUGAGAAUUCUAAGGUGAGCGAGCGAACUCUCGUUAAGGAACUCGGCAAAAUGACCCCGUAACUUCGGGAGAAGGGGUGCUCUUUAGGGUUAACGCCCAGAAGAGCCGCAGUGAAUAGGCCCAAGCGACUGUUUAUCAAAAACACAGGUCUCUGCUAAACCGUAAGGUGAUGUAUAGGGGCUGACGCCUGCCCGGUGCUGGAAGGUUAAGAGGAGUGGUUAGCUUCUGCGAAGCUACGAAUCGAAGCCCCAGUAAACGGCGGCCGUAACUAUAACGGUCCUAAGGUAGCGAAAUUCCUUGUCGGGUAAGUUCCGACCCGCACGAAAGGCGUAACGAUUUGGGCACUGUCUCAACGAGAGACUCGGUGAAAUCAUAGUACCUGUGAAGAUGCAGGUUACCCGCGACAGGACGGAAAGACCCCGUGGAGCUUUACUGUAGCCUGAUAUUGAAAUUCGGCACAGCUUGUACAGGAUAGGUAGGAGCCUUUGAAACGUGAGCGCUAGCUUACGUGGAGGCGCUGGUGGGAUACUACCCUAGCUGUGUUGGCUUUCUAACCCGCACCACUUAUCGUGGUGGGAGACAGUGUCAGGCGGGCAGUUUGACUGGGGCGGUCGCCUCCUAAAAGGUAACGGAGGCGCUCAAAGGUUCCCUCAGAAUGGUUGGAAAUCAUUCAUAGAGUGUAAAGGCAUAAGGGAGCUUGACUGCGAGACCUACAAGUCGAGCAGGGUCGAAAGACGGACUUAGUGAUCCGGUGGUUCCGCAUGGAAGGGCCAUCGCUCAACGGAUAAAAGCUACCCCGGGGAUAACAGGCUUAUCUCCCCCAAGAGUUCACAUCGACGGGGAGGUUUGGCACCUCGAUGUCGGCUCAUCGCAUCCUGGGGCUGUAGUCGGUCCCAAGGGUUGGGCUGUUCGCCCAUUAAAGCGGUACGCGAGCUGGGUUCAGAACGUCGUGAGACAGUUCGGUCCCUAUCCGUCGUGGGCGUAGGAAAUUUGAGAGGAGCUGUCCUUAGUACGAGAGGACCGGGAUGGACAUACCUCUGGUGUACCAGUUGUCGUGCCAACGGCAUAGCUGGGUAGCUAUGUGUGGACGGGAUAAGUGCUGAAAGCAUCUAAGCAUGAAGCCCCCCUCAAGAUGAGAUUUCCCAACUUCGGUUAUAAGAUCCCUCAAAGAUGAUGAGGUUAAUAGGUUCGAGGUGGAAGCAUGGUGACAUGUGGAGCUGACGAAUACUAA
RNAcentral lists this ribosomal RNA (2864 nucleotides) under Staphylococcus aureus. Its description in RNAcentral is "partial 23S ribosomal RNA". It matches the Rfam family "Bacterial large subunit ribosomal RNA". Lineage: Bacteria; Bacillati; Bacillota; Bacilli; Caryophanales; Staphylococcaceae. The record is from RNAcentral.